Non-coding RNA from Acanthosepion pharaonis, 112 nucleotides. NCBI's taxonomy places the organism in Eukaryota, Metazoa, Mollusca, Cephalopoda, Sepiida, Sepiidae. The record is from the annotation of a GenBank genome assembly.
UAUGGCCAUAUUACACUGAAAUACCAGUUCUUGUACCAUCACUAAAGUUAAGCAAUGUCGAGCCUGGUCGGUACCUAGAUGAGUGACCACUUGAGAAUACCAGGUGCUGUAA